Molecule: ribosomal RNA, 253 nt
Filed under: uncultured bacterium
Lineage: Bacteria
Description: partial 16S ribosomal RNA
Rfam family: Bacterial small subunit ribosomal RNA
Source: RNAcentral
UACGUAGGGUGCGAGCGUUAAUCGGAAUUACUGGGCGUAAAGUGUGCGCAGGCGGCCGAGCAAGUCGAGUGUGAAAGCCCCGGGCUUAACUUGGGAAUUGCGCUCGAAACUACUUUGCUGGAGUGUGGCAGAGGAAGGUGGAAUUCCACGUGUAGCGGUGAAAUGCGUAGAGAUGUGGAGGAACACCAAUGGCGAAGGCAGCCUUCUGGGCCAACACUGACGCUCAUGCACGAAAGCCAGGGGAGCGAACGGG